This 253-nucleotide ribosomal RNA is filed under the name uncultured bacterium. Its description in RNAcentral is "partial 16S ribosomal RNA". It matches the Rfam family "Bacterial small subunit ribosomal RNA", at positions 524 to 776 of the family's 1533-position model. The record is from RNAcentral.
UACGUAGGGUGCAAGCGUUGUCCGGAAUUAUUGGGCGUAAAGAGCUCGUAGGCGGUUUGUCGCGUCUGCUGUGAAAACUCGGGGCUUAACCCCGGGCCUGCAGUGGGUACGGGCAGACUAGAGUGCGGUAGGGGAGACUGGAAUUCCUGGUGUAGCGGUGAAAUGCGCAGAUAUCAGGAGGAACACCGGUGGCGAAGGCGGGUCUCUGGGCCGUAACUGACGCUGAGGGGCGAAAGCGUGGGGAGCAAACAGG